Molecule: ribosomal RNA, 274 nt
Filed under: uncultured bacterium
Lineage: Bacteria
Description: partial 16S ribosomal RNA
Rfam family: Bacterial small subunit ribosomal RNA
Source: RNAcentral
AUACGGAGGGUCCAAGCGUUAUCCGGAAUCAUUGGGUUUAAAGGGUUCGUAGGCGGGUCAAUAAGUCAGAGGUGAAAUCUUGCAGCUUAACUGUAAAAUUGCCUUUGAAACUGUUGACCUUGAAUUACUGUGAAGUGGUUAGAAUAUGUAGUGUAGCGGUGAAAUGCUUAGAGAUUACAUAGAAUACCGAUUGCGAAGGCAGAUCACUAACAGUAUAUUGACGCUGAUGAACGAAAGCGUGGGUAGCGAACGGGAUUAGAAACCCGAGUAGUCC